This is a non-coding RNA of Pelobates cultripes (western spadefoot toad), 283 nucleotides long. The record is from the annotation of a GenBank genome assembly. NCBI's taxonomy places the organism in Eukaryota, Metazoa, Chordata, Amphibia, Anura, Pelobatidae.
GGGACCCUAGCAGCAGGUUAAAAUGAACAAAAUGCCUUCCCUUUCAGAGAAAAUGGAAUCUGAAUAUCUAUUCAAUCAAUGGACUACGGCUGUUUUACUUUACUGUUUUCUUUUUUUCAGCCAAUUGAAGCUGCCCUUCUCUCUACAGCACUCGGCCACUGGGAUAUGACAUCAUGUAUCCCAGUAGCCUUUAGCUCAUAAAAAGCGAAUGAAUGCAGCUGCUCUUUGCUGCUCCCAUCCCCUCUAAACCCGCACAAUUUCCCCCCCCUGGCCAGCACCAGAG